AGUGAAUAGAUACCCGGGUAGUCCACGCCGUAAACGAUGGAUGCUAGCUGUUAUUCGUAUCGACCCGAGUAGUAGCGAAAGCUAACGCGUUAAGCAUCCCGCCUGUGGAGUACGGUCGCAAGACUAAAACAUAAAGGAAUUGACGGGGACCCGCACAAGCGGUGGAGCGUGUUGUUUAAUUCGAUGAUAAGCGAAGAACCUUACCAGGGCUUGACAUCCUGCUAAUUUCUCCGAAAGGAGAGAGUGCCUUCGGGCCGCAGUGACAGGCGUUGCAUGGCCGUCGUCAGCUCGUGUCGUGAGAUGUUUGGUUAAGUCCAUCAACGAGCGCAACCCUUGUAACUAGUUGGAUUUUUCUAGUUAGACUGUCCCGGCAACGGGGAGGAAGGAGGGGAUGAUGUCAGGUCAGUAUUACCCUUACGUCCUGGGCUACAAACACGCUACAAUGGCCGGUACAAAGGGCAGCCAAGUCGCGAGACGGAGCAAAUCCCAUCAAAGCCGGUCUCAGUUCGGAUAGCAGGCUGAAACCCGCCUGCUUGAAGCUGGAA
This 545-nucleotide ribosomal RNA is filed under the name uncultured bacterium. Its description in RNAcentral is "bacterial SSU rRNA". It matches the Rfam family "Bacterial small subunit ribosomal RNA", at positions 774 to 1331 of the family's 1533-position model. The record is from RNAcentral.